UGCACCAUAACUUUAGUAUAAGUAAAUAGAAAUCUAUGAAAUUUAAACACAAGGUUUAUGACCUUAAAAGGAAGGUUGGGUUUGAUUUUGGGAGUUUUGGUCCCAACAGUUUAGGAAUAAGGGGCCCAAAGGGUCCAAAAUUGAACUUUGUGUGAUUUCAUCAAAAAUUGAAUAAUUGGGGUUCUUUGAUAUGCCGAAUCUAAUUAUGUAUGUAGAUUCUUAAUUUUUGGUCCCGUUUUUAAAUUGGUCUACAUUAAGGUCCAAAGGGUCCAAAAUUAAACUUAGUUUGAUUUUUAACAAAAAUUGAAUCCUUGGG
This 316-nucleotide long non-coding RNA is filed under the name Mytilus galloprovincialis (Mediterranean mussel). The record is from RNAcentral. Lineage: Eukaryota; Metazoa; Mollusca; Bivalvia; Mytilida; Mytilidae.